AGAGUUUGAUCAUGGCUCAGAUUGAACGCUGGCGGCAUGCUUAAUACAUGCAAGUCGAACGGUAACAGAUUCUUCGGAAUGCUGACGAGUGGCGGACGGGUGAGUAAUACAUAGGAAUCUGCCCAUGUAGUGGGGGACAACUUGGGGAAACUCAAGCUAAUACCGCAUAAUUCCUACGGGAUAAAGAGGGCCACUGCUUGCAAGCUCUUGCUACUGGAUGAGCCUAUGUCGGAUUAGUUAGUUGGUAAGGUAAUGGCUUACCAAGACAGCGAUCCGUAGCUGGUUUGAGAGGAUGAUCAGCCACACUGGGACUGAGACACGGCCCAGACUCCUACAGGAGGCAGCAGUAGGGAGUAUUGGACAAUGGGCGCAAGCCUGAUCCAGCAAUGCCGCGUGUGUGAAGAAGGCCUGCGGGUUGUAAAGCACUUUCAAUUGGGAAGAAAGAUUAUGAGUUAAUACCUUAUAAUAUUGACG
This 474-nucleotide ribosomal RNA is filed under the name uncultured bacterium. RNAcentral's name for it is "bacterial SSU rRNA". It matches the Rfam family "Bacterial small subunit ribosomal RNA", at positions 8 to 474 of the family's 1533-position model. The record is from RNAcentral.